This 357-nucleotide transfer-messenger RNA is filed under the name Myxococcales bacterium. It matches the Rfam family "transfer-messenger RNA". Rfam says of the family: Bacterial tmRNA, also known as 10Sa RNA or SsrA, is named for its dual tRNA and mRNA-like properties. Lineage: Bacteria; Pseudomonadati; Myxococcota; Myxococcia; Myxococcales. The record is from RNAcentral.
GGGGGUGCAUUGGCAUUCGACGUGGGUACGGAAGACGAAGACAGCGUGUCGCGGGCCCAACGCCGCGGAAAAACGUCGGGAAAACACAGCUGCCAACGACAGCAACUACGGCCACAUGGCCGUUGCAGCCUAACAAGCUGCACGCCCUCGUGUGAGGCGCUUCAGUAGCGCAAGGGCGUCACUACAGAAGCUAGCGUGCCGGAGGUCCCGGUCGGCGCGCGAAACUCAGGGACUCGCUCUCGAGAGGGCCCGCCUGUGGGCAUGCUCGGGAGCUAAACCCCAAGUUCGCAGGCUACGCACGUAGACGUCUCGCCGGAAGGCUCGCGGACCCGGGUUCGACUCCCGGCGCCUCCACUC